This 638-nucleotide ribosomal RNA is filed under the name Mauroania bettingeri. Its description in RNAcentral is "eukaryotic LSU rRNA". It matches the Rfam family "Eukaryotic large subunit ribosomal RNA", at positions 670 to 1262 of the family's 3401-position model. The record is from RNAcentral. Lineage: Eukaryota; Metazoa; Arthropoda; Insecta; Coleoptera; Melyridae.
GGAGUCUAGCAUGUGCGCGAGUCAUUGGGACAUUACUAAACCUAAAGGCGCAAUGAAAGUGAAACGGCCCGCUUCGGCGGGUCGAGGGAAGAUGGGCGAACCGCGCGAGCGGCCGCCCCGCAUUCCCGGGGCGUCUCGUUCUCAUCGCGAGAAGAGGCGCACCAAGAGCGUACACGCUGGGACCCGAAAGAUGGUGAACUAUGCCUGGUCAGGACGAAGUCAGGGGAAACCCUGAUGGAGGUCCGUAGCGAUUCUGACGUGCAAAUCGAUCGUCGGAACUGGGUAUAGGGGCGAAAGACUAAUCGAACCAUCUAGUAGCUGGUUCCCUCCGAAGUUUCCCUCAGGAUAGCUGGCGCUCGUCGCCAACGAGUCUCAUCCGGUAAAGCGAAUGAUUAGAGGCAUUGGGGCCGAAACGGCCUCAACCUAUUCUCAAACUUUAAAUGGGUGAGAUCUCCGGCUUGCUCGAACCGAUGAAGCCGCGAGACACGGAUCAGAGUGCCAAGUGGGCCAUUUUUGGUAAGCAGAACUGGCGCUGUGGGAUGAACCAAACGCCGAGUUAAAGCGCCUAAAUCGACGCUUAUGGGAUACCAUGAAAGGCGUUGGUAACUUAAGACAGCAGGACGGUGGCCAUGGAAGUC